UUUGUUAUUUAUUCUUGAGUAGAUGGUCCAUUUGUGCAAUAUCACCAAACUAGAAUAUUGAGAUCUCUAGUAGAAUUAAAUCAAUUUUACAAACUAUUCCUGAUAUGGUAUACUGGCAAAUAUGGAAAAGAAUAAAUAAGAUGAAUCAAUAAAUAUACUUGACAAAACAAAUAAAGAUCUUAUCGAUAACAUACUUGAC
Molecule: long non-coding RNA, 199 nt
Filed under: Solanum tuberosum (potato)
Lineage: Eukaryota; Viridiplantae; Streptophyta; Magnoliopsida; Solanales; Solanaceae
Description: long non-coding RNA (STUB_LNC005615)
Source: RNAcentral